Camelus dromedarius (Arabian camel) is the source of this 164-nucleotide small nuclear RNA. Its record names the gene U2. It matches the Rfam family "U2 spliceosomal RNA". From Rfam's summary of the family: U2 is a small nuclear RNA (snRNA) component of the spliceosome (involved in pre-mRNA splicing). NCBI's taxonomy places the organism in Eukaryota, Metazoa, Chordata, Mammalia, Artiodactyla, Camelidae. The record is from Ensembl.
AUCACUUCUUGGCCUUUUGGCCAACAUCAAGUGUAGUAUCUUUUCUUAUCAGAAAUAAGCAAAGCAUUCACUGACCAUCACAUAACUGUUUAUCUGGUGAGGGAAAGCCAAUCCAAUGGUCACAUUACUAUCUGUGUAACAUCAAACCCUGAUAAAUACCUUUU